Molecule: non-coding RNA, 31 nt
Filed under: Mus musculus (house mouse)
Lineage: Eukaryota; Metazoa; Chordata; Mammalia; Rodentia; Muridae
Source: RNAcentral
UAGGCCCAUCUCUAUAUUGCUUCUUCUUACC